RNAcentral lists this ribosomal RNA (408 nucleotides) under uncultured bacterium. RNAcentral's name for it is "bacterial SSU rRNA". It matches the Rfam family "Bacterial small subunit ribosomal RNA", at positions 354 to 772 of the family's 1533-position model. The record is from RNAcentral.
GUAGGGAAUCUUGCGCAAUGGGCGAAAGCCUGACGCAGCGACGCCGCGUGAGGGAUGAAGGCCUUCGGGUUGUAAACCUCUUUCAGCAGGGACGAAGCCUUCGGGUGACGGUACCUGCAGAAGAAGCGCCGGCUAACUACGUGCCAGCAGCCGCGGUAAUACGUAGGGCGCAAGCGUUGUCCGGAAUUAUUGGGCGUAAAGAGCUCGUAGGCGGCUUGUCGCGUCGGAUGUGAAAGCCCGGGGCUUAACCCCGGGUCUGCAUUCGAUACGGGCAGGCUAGAGUGUGGUAGGGGAGAUCGGAAUUCCUGGUGUAGCGGUGAAAUGCGCAGAUAUCAGGAGGAACACCGGUGGCGAAGGCGGAUCUCUGGGCCAUUACUGACGCUGAGGAGCGAAAGCGUGGGGAGCGAA